RNA transcript from Sander lucioperca (pikeperch), 1736 nucleotides. It is a transcript of the gene named thrombopoietin, with no coding region annotated. Lineage: Eukaryota; Metazoa; Chordata; Actinopteri; Perciformes; Percidae. The transcript is spliced from 5 exons. The record is from RefSeq and is a predicted model, not a curated record.
CUCUCAACGCCCUGAAAGCCAACUCUGGCCAAACGAGAAGCAAAAUAGUCCCGCUAUCAAUGAAAUGCCAUUUUCAGUCUAUAACAUUUUGUUAUGCUGCGCAGCAGGAAAGUUGGAGCGCAUCCUGCUCUCAGGCUAGAUAACAUUCGCACUUCCCACUACUGAAUAAGAAGGUGGGAAAUCAAGUGGUGAGAAGACAAAAAGGACACACAGCUCCUCUACAGUGGACACGGGGCAUUUUCCACCUGGCACACACUUCUUAAUGGAACAAAUGUGGAUUCAUCAGGAGCGGCCAAGCAGGGCAUGGCUUUAAGCAGACUCCUGCUGCUCUGUAUGCUAGCCUCUGAGGUGUGGGAUGCUGAGACCAAACCCAUAGAAUUUAUGUGUAAUAAAGGCGCCAGGAGGGCUAUGAAUAUUGUGGCAGAGAUGGAGAGUGUACUGAGUAACUGUAAUGGCUCGACAACCCUAUCCACACCGGUUCAGCUACCCUGUAUCGAGCUUCAUGUAGCAUCUUGGGAAAACAAAUCAGUAUGUUGGCACAUCACCAGGAGAAGAGAGGAGACAUAGUUGCAUCCUUGAGUCUUCUUAUUGAAGGUGUGAAAGUUGUGAAAUCCCCAAGCCAGCCAGAAUGUGCCGCUUCGCUACUGCAGAGACUGGAGAACAACAUCAACAACUACCUGCUCAUUCUCACACACCUUCAGCUGAGUGGGCCAGUGGGGAGUCCAGCACUGUCUUGUGUUCCUCGAAGCACCCAGAGUCUGAGCACAAUCCUCGUUAACUACAACCAACUGAUCAUAGGCAAACUGGAGCGGUUCAUGAUAAACCUGGAAGACCGCUGCAUUUCCCAGUAACACAAGAACAACUCGGUAAAAAGUAAAAAGAAGAAAUACACCCUUCUCUGCUGGUCAUUAGGAGGAGCUGGAGAAGUAGAGAAAAUGACAGACAGCAAUAUGUCUGCAAGUAUGAACAUUAUGGACAAAUGAAUAUAUGACAGAAGGGCAGUUUUUUUGUAUCAUUCUACAUAAAACUAGGAAUGUUUUUUUUUUUUUUUUGAGUACGUAGCCUACAGGCAGCUUUUCCAAGUCUUCACUGGAUGCAAAAUGAUCCUAAUCAGAAUGAUUGUUUCACAUCAGAAGUUGUGGUCCUGCUUGAUUACAUGGCCAAUCCAAAAAGUCAACUUGUUUGGAUUCAUGUUCUUAUACCAGAUUUGUUUUGCUCCUUAGUCAGUAGUAAAAAGGUCUUGAAAAGUGGAUGAACUCUCACAGCCCAUAUCCAGUCCCCAAACUAUUUUAUCUUUAAUUUCAAUCAAGUUCGUUUUUGCAAAUAAGAUACUGCUAACAUUAGACAGUCCUUGCACAUUGUUAGUGGAAUUAAAAAAAAAUCAAAUACACUUACUGAAGAAUCAUGGAAAGUGUUCCUAUAGUCUACAUUUCUGGAAUGACUUUAGUGAGCAAAUGUGGUUUAUUCUUAAUGCACUUUUAGAUCUUACCUCUGUUUACAUUUUUAUUUUAAAAGUUAUUGAUUUGCUGUAAAUGUGUGCAUGCUUCUAUGUAUUGCUUUUUUACAAAUUCAGGAAAUCUAUCUUAGGUGUCUUUGUUAAUUUGUAUAUGUAAAUAAUCGGAUUUUGCAUUUAAGAGGACAUUUUUGCUACACUUUAUAUUGAUACAAUUUUGUUUAUGAUACAAAACCUUUGCAAUAUAAUAUGCAAUAAACUCUAAAUUUCAUAGAUCCAUUUA